AGUGAACGCUGGCGGUAGGCCUAACACAUGCAAGUCGAACGGCAGCACAGUAAGAGCUUGCUCUUACGGGUGGCGAGUGGCGGACGGGUGAGGAAUACAUCGGAAUCUACUUUUUCGUGGGGGAUAACGUAGGGAAACUUACGCUAAUACCGCAUACGACCUACGGGUGAAAGCAGGGGAUCUUCGGACCUUGCGCGAUUGAAUGAGCCGAUGUCGGAUUAGCUAGUUGGCGGGGUAAAGGCCCACCAAGGCGACGAUCCGUAGCUGGUCUGAGAGGAUGAUCCGCCAAACUGGAACUGAGACACGGGCCAGACUCCUACGGGAGGCAGCAGUGGGGAAUAUUGGACAAUGGGCGCAAGCCUGAUCCAGCCAUACCGCGUGGGUUAAGAAGGCCUUCAGGUUGUAAAGCCCUUUUGUUGGGAAAGAAAAGCAGCAGGUUAAUACCCCGCUGUUCUGACGGUACCCAAAGAAUAAGCACCGGCUAACUUCGUG
RNAcentral lists this ribosomal RNA (492 nucleotides) under uncultured bacterium. RNAcentral's name for it is "partial 16S ribosomal RNA". It matches the Rfam family "Bacterial small subunit ribosomal RNA", at positions 29 to 507 of the family's 1533-position model. The record is from RNAcentral.